RNAcentral lists this long non-coding RNA (638 nucleotides) under Homo sapiens (human). RNAcentral's name for it is "HSALNT0408097". Lineage: Eukaryota; Metazoa; Chordata; Mammalia; Primates; Hominidae. The record is from RNAcentral.
CCGAGUGUGGGCCAGGAGCCGGGCCAGGAAGGGAGGGAGGUGGCACCAGUGGGGGCCGGGCCCAGGCCCAGUCGGGAGCCGAAGCUCAGUUCAAGCUCCUCCCGACAAUCUGUCCCGGACUUAGGAGGAACGAGUUGGAGUCGGGUCCAGCCGCCAGUUUGGGAUUGGGCUGCCCCGCCCCCGAUAUCUCGGCUGGGCUGGUCCCUCAGGCCUCGGCCGCGGCUUUUCAGGUGCUGGAGACUCAGCGGAGCUGCAAGCGGACGGAUGUCUUCCCAGCACCCACCGCCCCCUUCCGCCCACCUCAGGCAUGCAGACAUGGGAGUCCCACUGUAUGUCGCAGACUGAGGCCCCAGCCCCACUGAGGGCAAAAGGCACAUCUUUGCUUUGGGCCUCUCCUAUUCUCCAAUAGGAUUUUCCAGCUGGAAUGGAAUUCACUAGGUCAUUCACAUCAUCUCCCUGCCCUGUGCCUAAAUCAUUCUAACUACUUGAGAAUGGAUGAUAUAUUGAGGGCAUUCUCAAGAAGAAGUCACAGUCCUACCUCUACCUCUACCUCUACCUCUACCCUCUUUCCACGGUCUCCCUCUGAUGCCGAGCCGAAGCUGGACUGUACUGCUGCCAUCUCGGCUUACUGCAACCUC